CCAUAAUAAACAUAAUAAAUCCAUAAUAAAGACAAUAAUAAUAAAGCUGCGAUAAACAACAUUAUGAGUUUGAACGUUGUGACAUUUUGUCUGUUGAAACUUCCUCACUGUUAAAAUCGACCACAAGCCUGUUGCUGCUGUUGUCUGUUCAGAACCGCCCCGGUUGUUCAGAACCGGGGCGGUUCUGAACAACAUGAGCGUCUGGACCCGGAGCCCGCCGCUGUCUGGAAAUAUUCUGCUCACUUCCUGUCUCCUCCUGCCUGUCUGUAGAGUUAGUUGAUGCGCGGCGUGUCGGCCAUUAGCCCCGCCGCGCCGCCGCCUGCUGAACCCCAGGCUGCUUCAGACAACAGGACACGGCUCGCCCUGAAAACCCGACUUACUGUUUCAACAGCUGGUUCUGACAGCGGGGCCUCUGCAUGGAGAAGAAGUGAAAGUUUACAGAGAUGUGGGUUUAGAUGCAGGGAGGACUGAAACCACUACUGCACCUCAGUUCCAGAAAGUCUGACGUUGAGGAGGAAGAAGAGAAAUGGACGUGUUUGCAUCAACAGUCGAAGCUAAAAGUUUGCAUUUCUGGCUCAAAGUGUUUAUAGUAGAAAAGUGUGUGGGAGUUCGAUGAUUUGGAAAGAAUUUUCUGUCCUCAAGCUUCUUACAGGCUUUCUGUGGUUAUGACUCAAACUCUGCCUUCAUAAAAUAAAUGUAAUUAAGCAGAAAAAAAAGAUUAAAAGUUGAAGAAAAAAUAUCUGAAGCACAACUUCUGGAAUGAUCUUUGACCUCUGGUGAGGUGAAGGAAACUUAGCAGAGCCUGCAGUUUGUGUUUUUCAGCAACACGAAGCAUCUGGGACAGAAAACGGAGAAAACAUUUAAAGAGAAAACGGAGAAAACAUUUAAAGAGAAAACAGAGAAAACAUUUUGGUUGCUGUGGUAAAAAGUUUGAACUCUCAGGCUGAAGCAACUUGUAAUUCCUGUUCUUAGAUACUUAAAAAAACAUUACGCAACAUUCAAAUGUAAAUAUAAACUGAGUCUAAACAUAAUGUGAAGCAUAACAUUUUUAUAAAAAGACGUAUUUGGAUGAAGCUUAAGGAAAUAGAAGUGAUAAAGCAGAGUAGCAUCAAACUGUUUCCUGGAUGUAAUCCCAGACAGAUCCGUCUGUCAUUCAAGAUUAAGUUCAACUUUAUUUAUAAAUCCCAUUCAAAACAGCUGCUGUACCCAAGUACUGCUCAUAAAAACAGAAAUAAUAAGAAUAUACAGGGGAGAAAAAUAAAACAAGAAUAUUGAAAACAUUAAGAAAAGAAAGAUGAAAAAUUCAACUAAGAGCAGCAGGAAACGUUUUAUGGUCUGGAUCAGUUUCUCUGUGUUUUAGGAGUUUCCUGUCUGACCUGAAUAAAGUGAGGAAAGGAUUCAGCAGAUCUGGACGUCAUGCAGAGCAGAUCUGGACGUCAUGCAGAGCAGAUCUGGACGUCAUGCAGAGCAGAUCUGGACGUCAUGCAGAGCAGAUCUGGACGUCAUGCAGAGCAGAUCUGGACGUCAUGCAGAGCAGAUCUGGACGUCAUGCAGAGCAGAUCUGGACGUCAUGCAGAGCAGGUCAUGCAGUUCUGCAGCAGAGACACAUGCAACACGCAGGCAGGGCUGGAGAAACACCAACCAGAGAUAAAAGCAUCAGGAGGCGAGAACAGCGGCCUGUUGGCUGCUGGUGGCAGCUGCUCAUCGUGGAUCUGAGCUCCAUCCGUCUGGUGAGCUUCCCACGGACGUCACCGGCUCUAAUGCAGCUGAUUCAAACCUCCAGGAACCAGAAUCAGAUGAUGUGAGACGAUAAGCAGGACUGUUGGACCCGGCAGCUUCUGCUUUAAGCUAAGUACAGACUUCAGAAAACAAAGAUCCAAACCUCACAGCUCAGAUGUUCAUCAGAUUAUUACAUUUCCUCUGAGCGAAGCAGAAGUUGCUUCUGCCUGCAGGUUAAUUAAUGUUUGAUUUGGGACAGAGAAACGUUGGGACUCACUGCUGCUUCACUUAUUACAUGAGGGGUCAGAGAUAUUUCUCAUUAUUGCAUUUCUGGUCCACAUGUGGAAUCUUUUCUGAAUCUUUUAAAUAAUAACAAUAAUCACUUCAACAGAAACUUUAUGCUUGGCCUCCUGCAGCUGCAGCAGUAGAGCAGGAAACCUGAAGGAGCUGCAGAGUUUUACUACGUUUCUCUGCUGAGUAAAACAUUUUUGUGUUCCAAAUAUAAAUGUUGUGAUGGAUGGAGUCUGAGGUUUGUAUUGAUGAUCCUCCACUCGUUUUGCUGACCUGGACGGAUUUGCUGCUCUGACCCAGUUUUACUCAGUCAGGCUCCAGUGAAGUCAGAGGUGAAUCUCAAAAACUCAUUUAAUCUGCAACAAGUCAGAACCGAGUCCUGACAUGGAGAAAGGUUUUCCUUAAACAUCUGGUUUUAUUUCAAUUUUACAUUAAAUACGCUCUAAUUCAUUUCCCUUCUUACUUCUUCACGUCUCUUCAGUUCAACACAUUUCUAACAUCAUUUAGUAAAAAUUAGUUUCAAAGAUUUUAGUUUGACUUGUGCUUCUAAUUAUUUUUCACCUAAAACUGCAAAUCUUAACUAAAAACCGUAGUGAAAUAUUCUUAUUUAUGGAUGCUCGUGGCUGUAAAGUGACGGAUGCUUCAGUAUUUCAGCUGGCAGUGAACAAACAUGUUCUGUUGGGUUUUUAGUUGGUAUUUUUCUCUCCUCUCGGUCAGAAGUGUUAGAAAUCAGCUGGUCGC
Molecule: long non-coding RNA, 2751 nt
Organism: Xiphophorus couchianus (Monterrey platyfish)
Lineage: Eukaryota; Metazoa; Chordata; Actinopteri; Cyprinodontiformes; Poeciliidae
Exons: 4
Source: RefSeq, a predicted model, not a curated record